Molecule: non-coding RNA, 389 nt
Organism: Schizosaccharomyces pombe (fission yeast)
Lineage: Eukaryota; Fungi; Ascomycota; Schizosaccharomycetes; Schizosaccharomycetales; Schizosaccharomycetaceae
Source: the annotation of a GenBank genome assembly
AAAAUUAACAGUGUAGACUAGAAUUAGAUGUAAAAAAUGAAAGGAGAAACGAGUGAAUUAAAUAACCUUAGGAAAAUCAAUUGCAGAUUAGUCAAGUUUGAAAUGGCUAGCAAGAGCCUGGCCUGUGUCAGACUCUUUGCUAUAAGCUAGUUCAAUGGCGUAUAAGAGGAGAGUUAAAAUAGCACUUACCCAACGCCAAAUUUCAGCGGAACACAAUAUUUGAUUCACUGGAGAAGUGAAAGAGGGUGUUGGGUAUAAGUGCUGUAAUAGAAGGUUUGUAUAGACUGCAAUAAGUAUACAUGGAGAAAGAAUACUCCACAUACCCUGUUUAGAAGUUCGACUGUACUCGAGAAAGAUGAUGUUAUUUUGUAUUGCAGGUAAAAUUCUUG